AGCCAGACUCCUACGGGAGGCAGCAGUGGGGAAUAUUGCACAAUGGGGGAAACCCUGAUGCAGCGACGCCGCGUGAGUGAAGAAGUAUUUCGGUAUGUAAAGCUCUAUCAGCAGGGAAGAAAAUGACGGUACCUGAGUAAGAAGCCCCGGCUAACUACGUGCCAGCAGCCGCGGUAAUACGUAGGGGGCAGGCGUUAUCCGGAUUUACUGGGUGUAAGGGGAGCGUAGACGGCAGUGCAAGUCUGGAGUGAAAGGCGGGGGCUCAACCCCCGGACUGCUCUGGAACUGCGUGGCUGGAGUGCAGGAGGGGCAGGCGGAAUUCCUGGUGUAGCGGUGAAAUGCGUAGAUAUCAGGAGGAACACCGGUGGCGAAGGCGGCCUGCUGGACUGCAACUGACGUUGAGGCCCGAAAGCGUGGGGAGCAAACAGGAUUAGAUACCCUUGUAC
RNAcentral lists this ribosomal RNA (446 nucleotides) under uncultured bacterium. RNAcentral's name for it is "bacterial SSU rRNA". It matches the Rfam family "Bacterial small subunit ribosomal RNA", at positions 329 to 793 of the family's 1533-position model. The record is from RNAcentral.